This 76-nucleotide transfer RNA is filed under the name Clostridium sp. CAG:628. RNAcentral describes it as "transfer RNA-Glu(CTC)". It matches the Rfam family "tRNA". From Rfam's summary of the family: Transfer RNA (tRNA) molecules are approximately 80 nucleotides in length. Lineage: Bacteria; Bacillati; Bacillota; Clostridia; Eubacteriales; Clostridiaceae. RNAcentral also lists the same sequence under 2 other names. The record is from RNAcentral.
GGCCUGUUGGUGAAAUGGUUAACACACAAGCCUCUCAAGCUUGCAUUCACGGGUUCAAAUCCCGUACAGGUCACCA